GACGAACGCUGGCGGCGUGCUUAACACAUGCAAGUCGAACGGAAAGGCCCUGCUUUUGUGGGGUGCUCGAGUGGCGAACGGGUGAGUAACACGUGAGUAACCUGCCCUUGACUUUGGGAUAACUUCAGGAAACUGGGGCUAAUACCGGAUAGGAGCUCCUGCUGCAUGGUGGGGGUUGGAAAGUUUCGGCGGUGGGGGCUGGACUAGCGGCUUAUCAGCUUGUUGGUGGGGUAGUGGAUUACAAAGGCUUUGACGGGUAGCCGGCCUGGGAGGGUGGCCGGCCACAUUGGGACUGAGGUACGGACCAGACUCCUACGGGAGGCAGCAGUGGGGAAUAUUGCACAAUGGGCGGAAGCCUGAUGCAGCAACGCCGCGUGCGUGAUGACGGCCUUCGGGUUGUAAACCGCUUUCGCCUGUGACGAAGCGUGAGUGACGGUAAUGGGUAAAGAAGCACCGGCUAACUACGUG
RNAcentral lists this ribosomal RNA (468 nucleotides) under uncultured bacterium. RNAcentral describes it as "partial 16S ribosomal RNA". It matches the Rfam family "Bacterial small subunit ribosomal RNA", at positions 28 to 507 of the family's 1533-position model. The record is from RNAcentral.